Molecule: ribosomal RNA, 440 nt
Filed under: uncultured bacterium
Lineage: Bacteria
Description: partial 16S ribosomal RNA
Rfam family: Bacterial small subunit ribosomal RNA
Source: RNAcentral
CCUACGGGGGUCUGCCGUUUUUACUAUUUCUCCCUUUUCUCCCCCCUGCUGCCGCCCCGCCGCGUGUGGGAAGAAGGUUUUCGGAUUGUAAACCACUGUUCUUGGUGAAGAUAAUGACGGUAACUAAGGAGAAAGCUCCGGCUAACUACGUGCCAGCAGCCGCGGUAAUACGUAGGGAGCAAGCGUUGUCCGGAUUUACUGGGUGUAAAGGGUGCGUAGGCGGUCUUGCAAGUCAGACGUGAAAACCACAGGCUCAACCUGUGGACUGCGUUUGAAACUGUGGGGCUUGAGUGAAGUAGAGGUAGGCGGAAUUCCCGGUGUAGCGGUGAAAUGCGUAGAGAUCGGGAGGAACACCAGUGGCGAAGGCGGCCUACUGGGCUUUAACUGACGCUGAGGCACGAAAGCAUGGGUAGCAAACAGGAUUAGAUACCCUUGUAGUC